ACGGGAGGCAGCAGUGGGGAAUAUUGCACAAUGGGGGAAACCCUGAUGCAGCGACGCCGCGUGAGUGAAGAAGUAUUUCGGUAUGUAAAGCUCUAUCAGCAGGGAAGAAAAUGACGGUACCUGCACAAGAAGCCCCGGCUAACUACGUGCCAGCAGCCGCGGUAAUACGUAGGGGGCAAGCGUUAUCCGGAUUUACUGGGUGUAAAGGGAGCGUAGACGGCAGUGCAAGUCUGAAGUGAAAUCCCGUGGCUCAACCGCGGGACUGCUUUGGAAACUGUACAGCUUGAGUACCGGAGGGGUAAGCGGAAUUUCUAGUGUAGCGGUGAAAUGCGUAGAUAUUAGGAAGAACACCGGUGGCGAAGGCGGCUUACUGGACGGUAACUGACGUUGAGGCUCGAAAGCGUGGGGAGCAAACAGGAUUAGAUACCCUGGUA
This 434-nucleotide ribosomal RNA is filed under the name uncultured Lachnospiraceae bacterium. RNAcentral's name for it is "bacterial SSU rRNA". It matches the Rfam family "Bacterial small subunit ribosomal RNA", at positions 341 to 792 of the family's 1533-position model. The record is from RNAcentral. Lineage: Bacteria; Bacillati; Bacillota; Clostridia; Lachnospirales; Lachnospiraceae.